This 482-nucleotide ribosomal RNA is filed under the name uncultured bacterium. RNAcentral describes it as "partial 16S ribosomal RNA". It matches the Rfam family "Bacterial small subunit ribosomal RNA", at positions 30 to 507 of the family's 1533-position model. The record is from RNAcentral.
AUUGAACGCUGGCGGCAUGCCUUACACAUGCAAGUCGAACGGUAACAGGUCUUCGGAUGCUGACGAGUGGCGAACGGGCGAGUAAUACACCGGAACGUGCCCGAUCGUGGGGGAUAACGGAGCGAAAGCUUUGCUAAUACCGCAUACGAUAUACGGAUGAAAGCCGGGGACCGCAAGGCCUUGCGCCGGCGGAGCGGCCGAGGGCAGCUUAGGUAGUUGGUGGGAUAAAAGCUUACCAAGCCGACGAUCGGUAGCUGGUCUGAGAGGACGACCAGCCACACUGGGACUGAGACACGGCCCAGACUCCUACGGGAGGCAGCAGUGGGGAAUUUUGGACAAUGGGCGAAAGCCUGAUCCAGCCAUGCCGCGUGCAGGAUGAAGGCCUUCGGGUUUUAAACUGCUUUUGUACGGAACGAAAAGACUCUUUCUAAUAAAGAGGGUCCAUGACGGUACCGUAAGAAUAAGCACCGGCUAACUACGUG